UUUAUGCUGUUGCUGAUGCAGCAUACCAUACAAUGAGCUGAAGUGGAUCAAAUCGGAUAUGACAUUAUGCAAGAGAGAUGUGGGUGUGCCUGCAUUGUGAAGCACCACCACCUGACAUCACAUGAUAUCUCAUCUUCUUAUGAGAGCUUGCUAUGGGGAAUGCGGUUUGAUUUUUCGUCUCCGCAAAAAGGUGUUGAAGAUGAGAGUUUCAACUUUCGACAACUUGACAUCACAUGAUAUCUCAUCUUCUUGUGAGACAUUGAUUUGUAGUCAGCCAACACUAGGGCAAAAAGUGAAAAAAAGAAACAUGGAAGGGGAGAAAAAAAGAAAAAAAACUGAAAAAAAAGGUAAAAAAGAGAAAGCAGAUCUGUUGAAAAAAAGAAAAGAAAA
Long non-coding RNA from Salvia splendens (bonfire salvia), 390 nucleotides. RefSeq lists it as uncharacterized. The record is from RefSeq and is a predicted model, not a curated record. The transcript has 2 exons. Lineage: Eukaryota; Viridiplantae; Streptophyta; Magnoliopsida; Lamiales; Lamiaceae.